AUGGUUGACCUCGGAUCAGGUAGGGAUACCCGCUGAACUUAAGCAUAUCAAUAAGCGGAGGAAAAGAAACCAACAGGGAUUACCUCAGUAACGGCGAGUGAAGCGGUAAAAGCUCAAAUUUGAAAUCUGGCUCUUUUAGAGUCCGAGUUGUAAUUUGUAGAAGAUGCUUCGGGUGUGGUUCCGGUCUAAGUUCCUUGGAACAGGACGUCAUAGAGGGUGAGAAUCCCGUAUGUGACUGGAUACCUAUGCUCAUGUGAAGCUCUUUCGACGAGUCGAGUUGUUUGGGAAUGCAGCUCAAAAUGGGUGGUAUAUUUCAUCUAAAGCUAAAUAUUGGCCAGAGACCGAUAGCGCACAAGUAGAGUGAUCGAAAGAUGAAAAGCACUUUGGAAAGAGAGUUAAACAGUACGUGAAAUUGUUGAAAGGGAAGCGCUUGCAAUCAGACUUGCACUUGGUGUUCAUCGGGGUUUCUACCCCGUGUACUUCAUCAAGUUCAGGCCAGCAUCAGUUUGGGUGGUUAGAUAAAGGCUUAGAGAAUGUGGCCCUCUUCGGGGGGUGUUAUAGCUCUAGGUGCAAUGUAGCCUACCUGGACUGAGGACCGCGCUUCGGCUAGGAUGCUGGCGUAAUGGUUGUAAGCGAC
RNAcentral lists this ribosomal RNA (637 nucleotides) under Monilinia fructicola. Its description in RNAcentral is "eukaryotic LSU rRNA". It matches the Rfam family "Eukaryotic large subunit ribosomal RNA", at positions 1 to 648 of the family's 3401-position model. The record is from RNAcentral. RNAcentral also lists the same sequence under 1 other name. Lineage: Eukaryota; Fungi; Ascomycota; Leotiomycetes; Helotiales; Sclerotiniaceae.